UUGGAUAAUAUAAUUGCAUGUUCUAAUAGCUAAACUUUAAAUUAAAAAGUUGAAACGAUCUAUUCAUAUACAUUGUGAAUUAAUUAAUAUAAAUUGAAAUAAUAUGCAUUGUAAUUUAGCACCGAACACGUGAUGUAUUACACGUACACAAGUUGCGUAUGACGUCAGCGCAUGACACACGGAAGUGUGCGAGACGCGCUGAACGCGAGAUGAGAGAUGCGCUGAACACGAGAUGAGUGAUGCAGAAAUGGAUUAAUAAGAAUGGUGAUUGCUGAUUUGAGUGCAGAUGCUAGCCGAUUGUGAAGCUUCUUUGAAUCUGAAACGGGUGUUUAAAAAAAAACCUGUGAAACUCGGGAUUUGGUCAGGUUUACUGCUUCAUUGGAAAAAUUCUCUCAUGGAUUUGAGAUGGCGAGCCACCCAAAAUUGAAUGCUGAUUUCUGAGCCUGGGGAAAAGACAUUUUUGCUGUAUCACAAGGUUUUCGUUGCGCCAGAGACAUCAAUUUCUUCAGUUAGGAGGACUUUGCUUUGUUCUGUUUGGACCACUUCUUCGAACUGGUAGGAUUGAACUGAUUGCGCAUUUACCCACUGGAUCUCUUAAAGGAUUUUCUGGACGAUAUUCAAGAGACAAUUCAAACAAAGAGUUAAAACAAGGGUGUUGUUUAUUUAACGUUAUUGAAUGUGAGUCACAUGUGAAUAUUGAAUUUCCUUUUACCAUUUCAUUGUGACAAGAAGUUUCAGUUGGUCAAAUUAUUGUUUACAUCAUUUUAUUUUGUUGAAGGGAUUAUUUUGGUUUGUUUAAACACGGUAUAGGAAAUUAUGGCACAACAAGCAGAGUAGAAUAAGAACCUUAAACUCUAAAAUAAAAAA
Molecule: long non-coding RNA, 867 nt
Organism: Pimephales promelas (fathead minnow)
Lineage: Eukaryota; Metazoa; Chordata; Actinopteri; Cypriniformes; Leuciscidae
Source: RefSeq, a predicted model, not a curated record